GACGAACGCUGGCGGCGUGCUUAACACAUGCAAGUCGAGCGGAAAACUUCGGUUUUCAGCGGCGGACGGGUGAGUAACACGUGGGCAACCUGCCUCACAAUGAGGGAUAGCCUUCCGAAAGGAAGAUUAAUAUCUCAUAACACAAGAGAAACGCAUGUUUCUCUUGCCAAAGAAUUUCGUUGUGAGAUGGGCCCGCGGCGCAUUAGCUUGUUAGUGAGGUAACGGCUCACCAAGGCUUCGAUGCGUAGCCGACCUGAGAGGGUGAUCGGCCACAUUGGAACUGAGACACGGUCCAGACUCCUACGGGAGGCAGCAGUGGGGAAUAUUGCACAAUGGAGGAAACUCUGAUGCAGCAACGCCGCGUGAGUGAUGAAGGUCUUCGGAUUGUAAAACUCUGUCUUCUGGGACGAUAAUGACGGUACCAGAGGAGGAAGCCACGGCUAACUACGUGCCAGCCGCCGCAGUAA
This 467-nucleotide ribosomal RNA is filed under the name uncultured bacterium. RNAcentral's name for it is "partial 16S ribosomal RNA". It matches the Rfam family "Bacterial small subunit ribosomal RNA", at positions 28 to 523 of the family's 1533-position model. The record is from RNAcentral.